CACAGACCCCGACUCAGGUUCAUGAAGCAUUCAGCACAUUAGGGCUUAUGCUAUUCACAGAGCCCCCUCUUUCUUCCUGCCCAACCAGUCCCUAAUCAGCAAGUCACUUCAUCUUCUGUUCCUCCAUUUAGGCUACAGUGACUGCAUUUGUUAGUCCUGUCAACACCUGUGAGACCUGCUGUGUGGGUGGUGGCAAAGAGGAGCAGGAGGAAUGAGAUGGAGAGUGAAGGAAGCUGCUGACAGACAACCAGAGAUGGACUAAUGCAUGAUUUGCUAAUGGAAAGCUUUUGGACAAAGGCUUCAACACAAUAAUGCUCAUGCAGUGUCAAAACCGUAGAAACCUGAACCAGCUGGCACAAAUCCAACCAGAGCAUGAUUUUCCUUUGAGCAAGGCAUUGCUGUUUGCAUUGCUGAAGGCCAUUCACCAAAAGUACAAGGAAUUCAUGUCGGGAAGCCUUGAUCAACAUUUUCCAGCUAUAUGAAUUGCAAGUUAUUUUUGUUCCGGAACAGAAAGAAAACAACACUGAAAGGAAUGCAAUUCACAUGUGCUUAUUGAACAUGACAAUGGAACAGAAGAAAAUGAUACAGACAAAAGCCUCCAUUUCUUCCCCAGAUCUGUUGACCAGUGAAAAGCACCCACCUGCUGAGAUGGCAAUUGGUGCAAUUUUCUCUAGUUCAUGGUGACUUCAGAGUAUUGGUUGA
This 702-nucleotide long non-coding RNA is filed under the name Chrysemys picta bellii (western painted turtle). RNAcentral's name for it is "lncRNA (ENSCPBG00000009746.1)". Lineage: Eukaryota; Metazoa; Chordata; Testudines; Emydidae. The record is from RNAcentral.